RNAcentral lists this unclassified non-coding RNA (400 nucleotides) under soil metagenome. RNAcentral describes it as "partial contains 5.8S ribosomal RNA, internal transcribed spacer 2, and large subunit ribosomal RNA". The stretch from base 1 to 122 matches the Rfam family "5.8S ribosomal RNA", at positions 35 to 154 of the family's 154-position model. The record is from RNAcentral.
GAUGAAGAACGCAGCGAAAUGCGAUACUUGGUGUGAAUUGCAGAAUCCCGUGAACCAUCGAGUCUUUGAACGCAAGUUGCGCCUCAAGCCAUUAGGUUGAGGGCACGUCUGCCUGGGCGUCACAUAUCGUUGCCUGAUGCCAGUUUCCUCGUGAUGGGUGACUGUGCAGGGCGAAUGAUGGCUUCCCGUAAGCAUUGUUGCCUCAUGGUUGGUUGAAAAUUGAGUCCUUGGUAGGGAGCGCCGUGAUAGAUGGUGGUUGAGUGACGAACGAGACCCAAUCAUGUGAGACCCCUACCGAAUUUGGCCUUCAUGACCCACAUGCGUCUUUGGAACGCUCAUGACGAGACCUCAGGUCAGGCGGGGCUACCCGCUGAGUUUAAGCAUAUCAAUAAGCGGAGGA